RNAcentral lists this ribosomal RNA (466 nucleotides) under uncultured bacterium. RNAcentral describes it as "partial 16S ribosomal RNA". It matches the Rfam family "Bacterial small subunit ribosomal RNA", at positions 29 to 507 of the family's 1533-position model. The record is from RNAcentral.
ACGCACGCUGGCGGCGUGCUUAACCCCUGCAAGUCGAACGGAAAGGCCCUGCUUUUGUGGGGUGCUCGAGUGGCGAACGGGUGAGUAACACGUGAGUAACCUGCCCUUGACUUUGGGAUAACUUCAGGAAACUGGGGCUAAUACCGGAUAGGAGCUCCUGCUGCAUGGUGGGGUUGGAAAGUUUCGGCGGUUGGGGAUGGACUCGCGGCUUAUCAGCUUGUUGGUGGGGUAGUGGCUUACCAAGGCUUUGACGGGUAGCCGGCCUGAGAGGGUGACCGGCCACAUUGGGACUGAGAUACGGCCCAGACUCCUACGGGAGGCAGCAGUGGGGAAUAUUGCACAAUGGGCGGAAGCCUGAUGCAGCAACGCCGCGUGCGGGAUGACGGCCUUCGGGUUGUAAACCGCUUUCGCCUGUGACGAAGCGUGAGUGACGGUAAUGGGUAAAGAAGCACCGGCUAACUACGUG